This 405-nucleotide ribosomal RNA is filed under the name uncultured Aliivibrio sp. RNAcentral describes it as "bacterial SSU rRNA". It matches the Rfam family "Bacterial small subunit ribosomal RNA", at positions 976 to 1380 of the family's 1533-position model. The record is from RNAcentral. Lineage: Bacteria; Pseudomonadati; Pseudomonadota; Gammaproteobacteria; Vibrionales; Vibrionaceae.
UACUCUUGACAUCCAGAGAAUUCGCUAGAGAUAGCUUAGUGCCUUCGGGAGCUCUGAGACAGGUGCUGCAUGGCUGUCGUCAGCUCGUGUUGUGAAAUGUUGGGUUAAGUCCCGCAACGAGCGCAACCCUUAUCCUUGUUUGCCAGCACGUAAUGGUGGGAACUCCAGGGAGACUGCCGGUGAUAAACCGGAGGAAGGUGGGGACGACGUCAAGUCAUCAUGGCCCUUACGAGUAGGGCUACACACGUGCUACAAUGGCGCAUACAGAGGGCUGCAAGCUAGCGAUAGUGAGCGAAUCCCAAAAAGUGCGUCGUAGUCCGGAUCGGAGUCUGCAAUUCGACUCCGGGAAGUCGGAAACGCUAGUAAGCGUGAAACAGAAUGUCACGGUGAAUACCGGCCCGCGCC